UACGAAGGGGGCUAGCGUUGCUCGGAAUCACUGGGCGUAAAGGGUGCGUAGGCGGGUCUUUAAGUCAGGGGUGAAAUCCUGGAGCUCAACCCGGGAACUGCGUCCGAUACUGGAAGGCUUGAAUCCGGGAGAGGGAUGUGGAAUUCCAGGUGUAGCGGUGAAAUGCGUAGAUAUCUGGAGGAACACCGGUGGCGAAGGCGACAUCCUGGACCGGUAUUGACGCUGAGGCGCGAAAGCUAGGGGAGCAAACGGG
RNAcentral lists this ribosomal RNA (253 nucleotides) under uncultured bacterium. RNAcentral's name for it is "partial 16S ribosomal RNA". It matches the Rfam family "Bacterial small subunit ribosomal RNA", at positions 524 to 776 of the family's 1533-position model. The record is from RNAcentral.